AUGUAUUUCCAUAAUUACACCAGUGUGCCUGCCUCUUUUGCCUUGUUCACCUUCUCCAGCUCUUCUGCCUCUGCCAUCCCUGAGACAGCAAGAUCAAUCCCUCCUCUUCCUCUUCAGCCUACUCAACGACAAAGAUUGAGGAUGAAGACCUUUAUGAUGGUCCACUUCCACUUAAUGAACAGCUGAAACCAUUGAAGUCCUUAGAUCAGCUUUAAGCACUGGAUGGAGUAAAAACCAUAAGCGACUACAAGGUGAUCUGUGAACAGACUGGCAGACAGAUGACAAGAGGGAAUGACAACAAAAAUAGACAAAAAGUAUGGUCUCCUGGUGAGCUAGUCAAAUUACUUGCUUAUUAAAAUGUUAGAAAUAAACAAACAUUAACGAAAUAAAAAUCUGAAACUGAGCCCCAGACUUAAGACUACUAGAAAGGCUCACCAAGUAAAACCUUCAGUUGGGUCAAGUGAGCUCUCUGAAUGUUUUGUACAACCUGCUGCAGUUUGUUCCCCUUGGGCAAGGUGAUGCUUUGUCCUGUGUGCAGCCUCUAACACCAUCACCGUCCCCAAGUGCAGCUCCCGUUCUAAAAAAGAUACCUCCCACCCCCAAUUCCUGGUGACUGCCAAACUCUCCUGACUGCAGAAACUGACUCUGAAGGAGGAAGGUGCACCAGUGGUGGAGGCAGGUGGGCAAGCGGGUCCGGCAGGGAUGGUUUCCUGGAGAAACCAUUUGGAUCUUUUCUCCAGAUGCCUAACAUGUGCUUAAGAGUUUUUUUUUUAAGUUCGAAAAAAACUCCAUUGUGAAAACUGAGUUAUGAAGAGUGCUCUUUAUUUGAAACCUCCACAACACAGACGCCAAUCUUGUCUCGCAUUGAAUCAUUAGCUGUGCACAUCAACACAUUCCAAGCACAAAUUAAGAAAUGCAAACAGAACAAAAAAAUAUAUAUAUAUAUAAUUUUUUCCCCUAUCCAAAGGUUUCAAGUCUCAAUGCAGCAAAUCCUUCUGAACACAGAAUCUGAGGAGCACACUGUUCAAACAGUUGGGACAGACAGGUCCCUGCAAAGGCUACUGCCUUUU
RNAcentral lists this long non-coding RNA (1070 nucleotides) under Callithrix jacchus (white-tufted-ear marmoset). RNAcentral's name for it is "lncRNA (ENSCJAG00000082630.1)". Lineage: Eukaryota; Metazoa; Chordata; Mammalia; Primates; Cebidae. The record is from RNAcentral.